RNAcentral lists this ribosomal RNA (509 nucleotides) under uncultured Archaeosporaceae. RNAcentral describes it as "bacterial SSU rRNA". It matches the Rfam family "Eukaryotic small subunit ribosomal RNA", at positions 569 to 1079 of the family's 1831-position model. Lineage: Eukaryota; Fungi; Glomeromycota; Glomeromycetes; Archaeosporales; Archaeosporaceae. The record is from RNAcentral.
AGCAGCCGCGGUAAUUCCAGCUCCAAUAGCGUAUAUUAAAGUUGUUGCAGUUAAAAAGCUCGUAGUUGAAUUUUGGGUUUGGCCAAUUGGUCCGUUCUUGUAACGAGUACUGGUUGGUUGGGCCUCACCGCCUGGUGAUACGUAAUGUCCUUUAUUGGGUGUUGCGAGUAGCCAGGACCUUUACCUUGAAAAAAUUAGAGUGUUUAAAGCAGGCUUAUGCCGGAAUACAUUAGCAUGGAAUAAUAGAAUAGGACAAUGAUUCUAUUUUGUUGGUUUCUAGGAGCAUCGUAAUGAUUAAUAGGGAUAGUUGGGGGCAUUAGUAUUCAAUUGUCAGAGGUGAAAUUCUUGGAUUUAUUGAAGACUAACUACUGCGAAAGCAUUUGCCAAGGAUGUUUUCAUUAAUCAAGAACGAAAGUUAGGGGAUCGAAGACGAUCAGAUACCGUCGUAGUCUUAACCAUAAACUAUGCCGACUAGGGAUCGGAUGAUGUUAAUUUUUUAAUGUACGCAA